Molecule: unclassified non-coding RNA, 312 nt
Filed under: uncultured Sympoventuriaceae
Lineage: Eukaryota; Fungi; Ascomycota; Dothideomycetes; Venturiales
Description: sequence contains ITS1
Rfam family: 5.8S ribosomal RNA (bases 1-104)
Source: RNAcentral
GAAAUGCGAUAAGUAAUGUGAAUUGCAGAAUCAGUGAGUCAUCGAAUCUUUGAACGCACAUUGCGCCUCUCGGUAUGCCGGGAGGCACGCCUGUUCGAGCGCCAUUACACACUCCAAGCGAAGCUUGAUGUUGGACGAAGCGGUCUCUUCGGGCAUCGCUCGUCUGGAACGUGUGGGCGCCCGCCGCCGGACCACGAGCGUAGCAAGACUAUUGUCAAUUCGUUCUGUGGGUUCCGACGGGGGGUUGGCCUCAUUCUCUUCUGUCUCAGAAAGUUUGGCCUCGGAUCAGGCGGGGAUACCCGCUGAACUUAA